This 253-nucleotide ribosomal RNA is filed under the name uncultured bacterium. RNAcentral's name for it is "partial 16S ribosomal RNA". It matches the Rfam family "Bacterial small subunit ribosomal RNA", at positions 524 to 776 of the family's 1533-position model. The record is from RNAcentral.
UACGUAGGGUGCAGGCGUUAAUCGGAAUUACUGGGCGUAAAGCGUGCGCAGGCGGUUUCUUAAGUCAGGCGUGAAAUCCCCAGGCUCAACUUGGGAACUGCGUCUGAUACUGGUUGGCUUGAAUUCGGGAGAGGGAUGCAGAAUUCCAGGUGUAGCGGUGAAAUGCGUAGAUAUCUGGAGGAAUACCGGUGGCGAAGGCGGCAUCCUGGACCGAGAUUGACACUGAGGAGCGAAAGCCAGGGGAGCAAACGGG